RNAcentral lists this ribosomal RNA (433 nucleotides) under uncultured bacterium. Its description in RNAcentral is "partial 16S ribosomal RNA". It matches the Rfam family "Bacterial small subunit ribosomal RNA", at positions 29 to 507 of the family's 1533-position model. The record is from RNAcentral.
AGCGAACGCUGGCGGCAGGCUUAACACAUGCAAGUCGAGCGGGCCCUUCGGGGUCAGCGGCGGACGGGUGAGUAACGCGUGGGAACGUGCCUUCUGGUCUGGAAUAACCCUGGGAAACUAGGGCUAAUACCGGAUACGCCCUUUGGGGGAAAGGUUUACUGGCGGAAGAUCGGCCCGCGUCGGAUUAGCUAGUUGGUGGGGUAACGGCCUACCAAGCCGACGAUCAGUAGCUGGUCUGAGAGGAUGAUCAGCCACACUGGGACUGAGUCACGGCCCAGACUCCUACGGGAGGCAGCAGUGGGGAAUAUUGGACAAUGGGCGAAAGCCUGAUCCAGCCAUGCCGCGUGAGUGAUGAAGGCCUUAGGGUUGUAAAGCUCUUUUAUCCGGGACGAUAAUGACGGUACCGGAGGAAUAAGCCCCGGCUAACUUCGUG